Molecule: ribosomal RNA, 831 nt
Filed under: uncultured Bacillota bacterium
Lineage: Bacteria; Bacillati; Bacillota
Description: bacterial SSU rRNA
Rfam family: Bacterial small subunit ribosomal RNA
Source: RNAcentral
GUAGGUGGCGAGCGUUAUCCGGAAUUAUUGGGCGUAAAGAGCGCGCAGGUGGUUGAUUAAGUCUGAUGUGAAAGCCCACGGCUUAACCGUGGAGGGUCAUUGGAAACUGGUCGACUUGAGUGCAGAAGAGGGAAGUGGAAUUCCAUGUGUAGCGGUGAAAUGCGUAGAGAUAUGGAGGAACACCAGUGGCGAAGGCGGCUUCCUGGUCUGUAAUUGACGCUGAGGCUCGAAAGCGUGGGUAGCGAACAGGAUUAGAUACCCUGGUAGUCCACGCCGUAAACGAUGAGUGCUAAGUGUUGGAGGGUUUCCGCCCUUCAGUGCUGGAGUUAACGCAUUAAGCACUCCGCCUGGGGAGUACGGCCGCAAGGCUGAAACUCAAAGGAAUUGACGGGGACCCGCACAAGCGGUGGAGCAUGUGGUUUAAUUCGACGCAACGCGAAGAACCUUACCAGCUCUUGACAUCUUCUGUUCACCCUAGAGAUAGGGCUUCCCCUUCGGGGGCAGAAUGACAGGUGGUGCAUGGUUGUCGUCAGCUCGUGUCGUGAGAUGUUGGGUUAAGUCCCAUAACGAGCGCAACCCUUAUUGUUAGUUGCCAGCAUUUAGUUGGGCACUCUAGCGAGACUGCCGGUGAUAAACCGGAGGAAGGUGGGGAUGACGUCAAAUCAUCAUGCCCCUUAUGAGCUGGGCUACACACGUGCUACAAUGGACGGUACAACGGGUAGCGAGGGCGCGAGCCUUAGCAAAUCCUAAUAAGCCGUUCUCAGUUCGGAUUGUUCUCUGCAACUCGAGAGCAUGAAGCCGGAAUCGCUAGUAAUCGCGGAUCAGAAUGCC